CAGAUUUGACAGCGAAACUUAAGUUAAUGGAGGCGGGAGGCGAAACGUCGGCGGAGCCAGUCGUGGCGGCCGACCACCACAUCUACUGCAACAUUCACGUGGGCAAGAGGCGUUACUCGGUCCGAAUUCAAUCAAGAAAGGUUUAGGCAAUGUGUACACGCAGGAGAAG
Trichoplusia ni (cabbage looper) is the source of this 169-nucleotide long non-coding RNA. RefSeq lists it as uncharacterized. The transcript has 2 exons. The record is from RefSeq and is a predicted model, not a curated record. Lineage: Eukaryota; Metazoa; Arthropoda; Insecta; Lepidoptera; Noctuidae.